GACGAACGCUGGCGGCGUGCCUAAUACAUGCAAGUCGAACGGGAAGGUUCCAGCUUUCUGGGGUUCACGAGUGGCGAACGGGUGAGUAACACGUGUGGGUCCCGUCCUGCACUUCCGGGUAAGCCUUGGGAAAUGGGGCUAAUACCGGGGAGGACCUUGGGGUGGGUACGGUGGGGUAAAGUUUGUUCGUUUUGGGAUGGGCUCGCGGCCUAUCAGCUUGUUGGUGGGGUAAUGGCAAGGCACGGGGGCGACGGGUAGCCGGCCUGAGAGGGUGGACGGCCACAUUGGGACUGAGACACGGCCCAGACUCCUACGGGAGGCAGCAGUGGGGAAUAUUGCACAAUGGGCGGAAGCCUGAUGCAGCGACGCCGCGUGGGGGAUGACGGCCUUCGGGUUGUAAACUCCUUUCACCAUAGACGAAGGGUUUCUGACGGUAGAUGGAGAAGAAGCACCGGCUAACUACGUG
Molecule: ribosomal RNA, 466 nt
Filed under: uncultured bacterium
Lineage: Bacteria
Description: partial 16S ribosomal RNA
Rfam family: Bacterial small subunit ribosomal RNA
Source: RNAcentral